UACAGAGGUGGCAAGCGUUGUUCGGAAUUACUGGGCGUAAAGGGCGCGUAGGCGGCCUUCCAAGUCCUGUGUGAAAUCCCUCGGCUCAACUGAGGAAUUGCACGGGAAACUGUUUGGCUUGAGUUCGGGAGAGGGAAGCGGAAUUCCGGGUGUAGCGGUGAAAUGCGUAGAUAUCCGGAGGAACACCGGUGGCGAAGGCGGCUUCCUGGACCGACACUGACGCUGAGGCGCGAAAGCUAGGGGAGCAAACGGG
RNAcentral lists this ribosomal RNA (253 nucleotides) under uncultured bacterium. RNAcentral's name for it is "partial 16S ribosomal RNA". It matches the Rfam family "Bacterial small subunit ribosomal RNA", at positions 524 to 776 of the family's 1533-position model. The record is from RNAcentral.